UACGUAGGGUGCAAGCGUUGUCCGGAAUUAUUGGGCGUAAAGAGCUCGUAGGCGGUUUGUCGCGUCGGCUGUGAAAACCUGGGGCUCAACCCCGGGCCUGCAGCCGAUACGGGCAAGCUAGAGUUCGGUAGGGGAGACUGGAAUUCCUGGUGUAGCGGUGAAAUGCGCAGAUAUCAGGAGGAACACCGGUGGCGAAGGCGGGUCUCUGGGCCGAUACUGACGCUGAGGAACGAAAGCCAGGGGAGCAAACGGG
This 253-nucleotide ribosomal RNA is filed under the name uncultured bacterium. RNAcentral describes it as "partial 16S ribosomal RNA". It matches the Rfam family "Bacterial small subunit ribosomal RNA", at positions 524 to 776 of the family's 1533-position model. The record is from RNAcentral.